This 530-nucleotide long non-coding RNA is filed under the name Homo sapiens (human). RNAcentral describes it as "MIR3147 host gene". The record is from RNAcentral. Lineage: Eukaryota; Metazoa; Chordata; Mammalia; Primates; Hominidae.
GUGACAGCUUUGCGAGUAGCUCCAGGUCCCCUGCUGCUCCGUGAGAAAUCAAACUUCUGGCAAUGACGAAGCAUGAAGCCAGCAUCUCAGGGAGAGGUAGUGACAUAAUUACACGAUAAGACAAGCCGCCUGGUCUCGCUGUCACUUGGCAGGCAAGAGAGGUGAGAAAACUGACACUUGGAGAGGUAGAGUAGCUUUAUUUACUUCACACAAGCUUUUGAUGAAUUUCAAGUCUCAACCUAGAAGUCUUCCUCUAAGGGAAAUUAAUGUUAUGACUGGAUAAGACAAUUGUGAAGAAACUGCACUUCGAGGUUGUCUGUCUCCGUAUUCCGAUGGAAAAGGCUGGACUUUAGAAGCAUUGCUCGCUCCUUCAGUUUCUAACAAGCCAGUUCUUGGAGAUACUAGGAAGCCAAGAGUUUCCUCCAGGAAUGGAGAUUCCUUGGAAGUGAGGUUCACCUUGAGUCAAGAAAGACGAAUCACACACGGUCAAAGGCAAUUGCCCAGGGUCUCAAGAACAGAGCCAGAAAGAA